GGUAGCUCAGUAGUAGAGUGCUUGCCUUGCAUGCAUGAAGCCUUGGGUUCUAUUCCUUAGUACCA
This is a non-coding RNA of Dipodomys ordii (Ord's kangaroo rat), 65 nucleotides long. The record is from Rfam. Lineage: Eukaryota; Metazoa; Chordata; Mammalia; Rodentia; Heteromyidae.